AAUUAGUGUAACUUCGGGAGUUGUUUGAACAAACAUGUACACCCACGGUGUAAUUAAAACUCACAACCUAGUGUUUUAAGUGGGUGUGAAUGUACGAACUCUGGGGUGGAGUCAUUUACACUUCCGGUCCUUCAGUUGAGAUUUUUGAAAAGAAGAUGGACGCCAUUGAAGUACAUCGUGGGAUAGUAAAAGGGUCAGCAAAAUGCUCAUCAAUGUCCAGUACCAUGGAGAAAAAAGUACCUCAAACUGCAGCCUGGUUUUUCUUUUCAAAGUUUAAUUCGAGAAGGCACAUCAAUCCACUGGUGCAAAAGAAGAGAACACCUCUGCCAUAGGAGAUUCAGCAGAAAAAGGCCAAACAGGUGAGCAUUUAAAAUUAAAAUAUCACUAGGAGAAAUCCUUGUCUGUCUCGUCUCCAAAAUGCAGAAGCC
Long non-coding RNA from Alosa sapidissima (American shad), 428 nucleotides. RefSeq lists it as uncharacterized. The transcript is spliced from 3 exons. The record is from RefSeq and is a predicted model, not a curated record. NCBI's taxonomy places the organism in Eukaryota, Metazoa, Chordata, Actinopteri, Clupeiformes, Clupeidae.